AUGUGAAAGUCUAAUCAAACGUGGAGAUAGCUCGUUCUCUCCGAAAUAACUUUAGGGUUAGCGUUCGGAUAGUUGACGUUGGGGGUAGAGCGACUGAUUUCGAACGGGGGCCUACCCGGCUACCCGUCGAAGCCAAACUCCGAAUACCAGCGUACCAGUCCGGGCAGCUAGACGGUGGGGGAUAAGCUUCAUCGUCGAGAGGGGAACAACCCAGAUCACCCGCUAAGGUCCCAGAGUCGUACUCAGUGCGAAAGGAAGUUGGAUUCCCGAGACAGCCAGGAUGUUGGCUUAGAAGCAGCCACCAUUUAAACAACGCGUAAUAGCGGACUGGUCGAGGAGUCCUGCGCCGAUAAUGAACGGGACUCAAGUACGACACCGAAGCGGUGGGCAGCGUAAGCUGCGGUAGGAGAGCGUUGCGUGUGCGGUGAAGGGGUACGGACAACGAGCCCCGGAGCGCAUGCAAGUGAUUAUGCCGGAAUGAGUAGACGAUAAAACGGGUGAGAAUCCCGUUCGCCGUAAACCUAAGGUUUCCUGGGGAAGGUAAAUCAGCCCAGGGUUAGCCGGUGCCUAAGACAAGGCCGAAAGGCGUAGUCGAUGGGGAGCAGGUUAAUAUUCCUGCGCUCCUCGCACAACAUGGGACGUCGAUUCAAAGAGGUGUAGGCUUAUUAGAUUGCCUCAGGGCACUUAAGAUCCCGGUAUCCACUGAGAGUCGACCAAGAAAACCGUGCGAGAAACCGUACUAAAACCGACACAGGUAGGUGAGAUGAAUAUUCUAAGGCGCUCGAGGGAACUCUCGUGAAGGAACUCUGCAAUUUAACUCCGUAACUUCGGGAAAAGGAGUGCCCACGCAAGUGGGCCACAGUGAAAAGGUUCUGGCGACUGUUUACUAAAAACACAGGUCUGUGCGAAGGCGUAAGCCGCGGUAUACAGACUGACGCCUGCCCGGUGCUGGUAAGUUAAGGGAGAGGGUUAGCCCGUAAGGGUGAAGCUCGCAACCGAAGCUCCAGUAAACGGCGGCCGUAACUAUGACGGUCCUAAGGUAGCGAAGUUCCUUGUCGGGUAAGUUCCGACCUGCAUGAAUGGCGUAACGACCGGAACACUGUCUCCACGAGAGACUCGGUGUAAUUGUAGUUGUCGUGAAGAUGCGACAUACCCGCAGCUAGACGGAAAGACCCCGUGAACCUUAACUGCAGCUUGGUAUUGGGUUUAGACCCAGCGUGCGUAGUGUAGGUGGGAGACUAUGAACCGCGUAUUUCGGUACGUGGGGAGUCAACGAUGAAACACCACCCUCGCUGUGUUUGAAUUCUAACCUGUUGUUUGUAGCAACAGGGACCGUGCUAAGUGGGCAGUUUGAUUGGGGCGAUCUCCUCCCAAAAGGUAACGGAGGAGUGCAAAGGUACCCUCAGCCCGGUUGGCAAUCGGGCAUCGAGUGUAAAGGUAUAAGGGUGCUUGACUGCGAGUCCGAUGGGACGAGCAGGGACGAAAGUCGGCCUG
This 1494-nucleotide ribosomal RNA is filed under the name metagenome. Its description in RNAcentral is "bacterial LSU rRNA". It matches the Rfam family "Bacterial large subunit ribosomal RNA", at positions 819 to 2413 of the family's 2925-position model. The record is from RNAcentral.